GGCUCCAUAGUGUAAUGGUUAGCAUGUCUGCUUUACACACAGAAGGUCCUGGGUUCAAACUCUGGGUGCGCCA
RNAcentral lists this transfer RNA (73 nucleotides) under Pteropus alecto (black flying fox). It matches the Rfam family "tRNA". Rfam says of the family: Transfer RNA (tRNA) molecules are approximately 80 nucleotides in length. Lineage: Eukaryota; Metazoa; Chordata; Mammalia; Chiroptera; Pteropodidae. The record is from Rfam by way of RNAcentral.